RNAcentral lists this ribosomal RNA (492 nucleotides) under uncultured bacterium. Its description in RNAcentral is "partial 16S ribosomal RNA". It matches the Rfam family "Bacterial small subunit ribosomal RNA", at positions 29 to 507 of the family's 1533-position model. The record is from RNAcentral.
AGUGAACGCUGGCGGUAGGCCUAACACAUGCAAGUCGAACGGCAGCACAGUAAGAGCCUACUCUUACGGGUGGCGAGUGGCGGACGGGUGAGGAAUACAUCGGAAUCUACUUUUUCGUGGGGGAUAACGUAGGGAAACUUACGCUAAUACCGCAUACGACCUACGGGUGAAAGCAGGGGAUCUUCGGACCUUGCGCGAUUGAAUGAGCCGAUGUCGGAUUAGCUAGUUGGCGGGGUAAAGGCCCACCAAGGCGACGAUCCGUAGCUGGUCGGAGAGGAUGAUGGGGCACACUGGAACUGAGACACGGUCCAGACGCCUGCGGGAGGCAGCAGGAGGGAGUGGGGCGCAAUGGGCGAAAUCUUGACGGAGCAACGCCGCGUGAGUGAUGAAGGUCUUCGGAUCGUAAAACUCUGUUAUUAGGGAAAAACAAAUGUGUAAGUAACUAUGCACGUCUUGACGGUACCUAAUCAGAAAGCCACGGCUAACUACGUG